This 207-nucleotide ribosomal RNA is filed under the name uncultured bacterium. RNAcentral describes it as "partial 16S ribosomal RNA". It matches the Rfam family "Bacterial small subunit ribosomal RNA", at positions 568 to 774 of the family's 1533-position model. The record is from RNAcentral.
AGCGUAGACGGCGUAUCAAGUCUGAUGUGAAAGGCAGGGGCUUAACCCCUGGACUGCAUUGGAAACUGGUAUGCUUGAGUGCCGGAGGGGUAAGCGGGAUUCCUAGUGUAGCGGUGAAAUGCGUAGAUAUUAGGAGGAACACCAGUGGCGAAGGCGGCUUACUGGACGGUAACUGACGUUGAGGCUCGAAAGCGUGGGGAGCAAACA